RNAcentral lists this ribosomal RNA (253 nucleotides) under uncultured bacterium. RNAcentral describes it as "partial 16S ribosomal RNA". It matches the Rfam family "Bacterial small subunit ribosomal RNA", at positions 524 to 776 of the family's 1533-position model. The record is from RNAcentral.
UACGGAGGGUCCAAGCGUUAUCCGGAAUCAUUGGGUUUAAAGGGUCCGUAGGCGGUUUUGUAAGUCAGUGGUGAAAGCCCAUCGCUCAACGGUGGAACGGCCAUUGAUACUGCAAGACUUGAAUUAUUAGGAAGUAACUAGAAUAUGUAGUGUAGCGGUGAAAUGCUUAGAGAUUACAUGGAAUACCAAUUGCGAAGGCAGGUUACUACUAGUGGAUUGACGCUGAUGGACGAAAGCGUGGGUAGCGAACAGG